This is a long non-coding RNA of Papaver somniferum (opium poppy), 572 nucleotides long. RefSeq lists it as uncharacterized. NCBI's taxonomy places the organism in Eukaryota, Viridiplantae, Streptophyta, Magnoliopsida, Ranunculales, Papaveraceae. The transcript is spliced from 2 exons. The record is from RefSeq and is a predicted model, not a curated record.
UUUUUUCCUUGUUUUUCUUCCAUGACUUUCCUUGUUUUUCUUCCAUGACUAUGCUAUACAUUUGGUCUAUUAGAAUCGGUGGUCUGAUUUGAUCUCGUAUUAUGUAUGUGUGUAAAUCCCGUAAUCAAUUUGUAUGCAAAUCCCAUAAUCAACAGUGAUUGUGAUUACCUUUUAGGAUUGUUUAUAUUUAUAAAUAAUUUUAUGCUGUUGCGGGAUUGAUCCGUUUGCAAAUUCCAUAAUCAAUGGAAGAAGGAAAGUCCGUUCCCCGUUCCCCGUUCCUAUCUGGUCCAACCCGGCCGAGUCGAACCGGUUCUAUCCAGCCGAGUCGAACCGGUCCUGUCCAGAGCAUGUGUUAGGUUCCAGGCCGGGUGUUAGGUUCCAGGCCGUGCGCGACCAAUAUCGUUCCGGUUCAGUCUAUAUAUGGUGGGAACCGAAGCUUGAGGUAUGUAACGAAUGUAAUAUUUAUUGGGCUUAUUUAUUUGUUUUUAGAAUAAUUUUUUUUCUAAUCUCAAGAUAAAUCAAUAUUAUACAAACGAUCGAUUUCAAUUAUGACUAUUGAUCUCUUUCAUUAA